UUCAAACGAUUAAAGCGUUUA
Molecule: non-coding RNA, 21 nt
Filed under: Caenorhabditis elegans
Lineage: Eukaryota; Metazoa; Nematoda; Chromadorea; Rhabditida; Rhabditidae
Source: RNAcentral